Molecule: long non-coding RNA, 502 nt
Filed under: Papio anubis (olive baboon)
Lineage: Eukaryota; Metazoa; Chordata; Mammalia; Primates; Cercopithecidae
Description: lncRNA (ENSPANG00000039280.1)
Source: RNAcentral
GGAGAAGUCAGCACACCUACCAAGGAUGCAGGGUCUUACUAUGUUUCCCAGGCUGGACUCAAACUCCUGGGCUCAAGUGGUCAUCCCACCUCAGCCUCCUGAGUAGCUGGGACUAUAGAUGCAUGCCGCCAUGCCCUGCCAAAAUCAUAUUUUUGAAGGUAGUGAUGUGGACAGAACCACCUGUGCUGCGCUGCAGACCCGCACAGAGGUCUACUGGAAGGAAGGAGCUCGAGGCGAGUCCACUGAGCGUGCGCACUUCCCAAUAGAGUCCAGGCUGCUGUUGGAGGGUUGUUUCUCAAGUUCUGGCAUCUCUGUUGACUUAAGGACCAUUCAACAUGAGAAAAUGGAGCCCACCAAUUUUGUGGCAGGCUUUCACCAGUCUGGUCUUGAUUUGCCACAAAUGCUGGACUUCCAAUUUUUAGCCUCGGGAACUGAUUUCAUUCCUUCCCAUUCCCAAAGGUUCUUCUGUAGCCUGCCAUCAAUUCUGAACAUCAUAUUGUAA